This 65-nucleotide transfer RNA is filed under the name Neoamphitrite affinis. RNAcentral describes it as "tRNA-Pro". Lineage: Eukaryota; Metazoa; Annelida; Polychaeta; Terebellida; Terebellidae. The record is from RNAcentral.
CAAACUAUAGUUAAUUUAUAAUAUAGAUUUUGGGUAUCUAAGAUCAGGCACAGCCUGUAGUUUGA